GAUGAAGAACGCAGCGAAAUGCGAUAAGUAGUGUGAAUUGCAGAAUUCAGUGAAUCAUCGAAUCUUUGAACGCACAUUGCGCCUUCUAGUAUUCUGGGAGGCAUGCCUGUUUGAGCGUCAUUAAACCUAUCUCAAGUAUGAUUACUUGGAUGUGAAGGAAGAGUACCUUAAACUUAAGGAGUGUUCUCCUUUGAAAUUGAUUAGCAGAUGGUAAUGUUAUUAAAUCCCUGAUGUUGUAAGAAAUAACAGUGUUUUGUAGACUAUUAUCUAGCUUUAAAUUAUAAUUUUUAUUAUGGUUGACCUCAAAUCAGGUAAGGAUACCCGCUGAACUUAAGCAUAUCAAUAAGCGGAGGA
RNAcentral lists this unclassified non-coding RNA (354 nucleotides) under soil metagenome. RNAcentral's name for it is "partial contains 5.8S ribosomal RNA, internal transcribed spacer 2, and large subunit ribosomal RNA". The stretch from base 1 to 120 matches the Rfam family "5.8S ribosomal RNA", at positions 35 to 154 of the family's 154-position model. The record is from RNAcentral.